GGUAAGAUGGCUGAAUUAGGUGAUAGACUGUAAAUCUAUUUAUGGGUUAUUCAACCCUCUUACCA
This 65-nucleotide transfer RNA is filed under the name Pseudothericles compressifrons. Its description in RNAcentral is "tRNA-Tyr". It matches the Rfam family "tRNA". Rfam says of the family: Transfer RNA (tRNA) molecules are approximately 80 nucleotides in length. Their secondary structure includes four short double-helical elements and three loops (D, anti-codon, and T loops). Lineage: Eukaryota; Metazoa; Arthropoda; Insecta; Orthoptera; Thericleidae. The record is from RNAcentral.